GAUAUUAAGGCAGCUACACAUGCAAGUCGAGCGGUAGAGAGGAGCUUGCUUCUCUUGAGAGCGGCGGACGGGUGAGUAAUGCCUAGGAAUCUGCCUAGUGGUGGGGGAUAACGUUCGGAAACGGACGCUAAUACCGCAUACGUCCUACGGGAGAAAGCGGGGGACCUUCGGGCCUCGCGCCAUUAGAUGAGCCUAGGUCGGAUUAGCUAGUUGGUGAGGUAAUGGCUCACCAAGGCGACGAUCCGUAACUGGUCUGAGAGGAUGAUCAGUCACACUGGAACUGAGACACGGUCCAGACUCCUACGGGAGGCAGCAGUGGGGAAUAUUGGACAAUGGGCGAAAGCCUGAUCCAGCCAUGCCGCGUGUGUGAAGAAGGUCUUCGGAUUGUAAAGCACUUUAAGUUGGGAGGAAGGGUAGUAACUUAAUACGUUGCUACUUUGACGUUACCGACAGAAUAAGCACCGGCUAACUUCGUGCCAGCAGCCGCGGUAAUACGAAGGGUGCAAGCGUUAAUCGGAAUUACUGGGCGUAAAGCGCGCGUAGGUGGUUCAGUAAGUUGGAAGUGAAAUCCCCGGGCUCAACCUGGGAACUGCUUUCAAAACUGCUGAGCUAGAGUACGGUAGAGGGUGGUGGAAUUUCCUGUGUAGCGGUGAAAUGCGUAGAUAUAGGAAGGAACACCAGUGGCGAAAGCGACCACCUGGACUGAUACUGACACUGAGGUGCGAAAGCGUGGGGAGCAAACAGGAUUAGAUACCCUGGUAGUCCACGCCGUAAACGAUGUCAACUAGCCGUUGGGAGUCUUGAACUCUUAGUGGCGCAGCUAACGCAUUAAGUUUGACCGCCUGGGGAGUACGGCCGCAAGGUUAAAACUCAAAUGAAUUUGACGGGGCCCCGUCACAAGCGGUGGGAGCAUGUGGUUUAAUUCGAAGCAACGCGAAGAACCUUACCUGCCUUGACAUGCCUGAGAACUUUCUAGAAGAUAGAUUGCUGCCUUUCGGAGCUCAGAACACAGUGCUGGCAUGACUGUCGUCAGCUCGUGUCUGACAUUGUAGGUAGUCCGGUAACGAGCGCAAGCCAUGUCUUAGCUUACCAGGCACGAUAAUGGAGUGGAAACU
RNAcentral lists this ribosomal RNA (1115 nucleotides) under Pseudomonas peli. Its description in RNAcentral is "bacterial SSU rRNA". It matches the Rfam family "Bacterial small subunit ribosomal RNA", at positions 32 to 1139 of the family's 1533-position model. The record is from RNAcentral. Lineage: Bacteria; Pseudomonadati; Pseudomonadota; Gammaproteobacteria; Pseudomonadales; Pseudomonadaceae.